Molecule: transfer RNA, 63 nt
Filed under: Cuneopsis heudei
Lineage: Eukaryota; Metazoa; Mollusca; Bivalvia; Unionida; Unionidae
Description: tRNA-Trp
Source: RNAcentral
AGGGGUUUAAGUUAAAUAAACUAAUAGCCUUCAAAGCUUUAAAUGAUUCAAAAUCAACCUCUA